Molecule: ribosomal RNA, 412 nt
Filed under: Septoglomus deserticola
Lineage: Eukaryota; Fungi; Glomeromycota; Glomeromycetes; Glomerales; Glomeraceae
Description: partial large subunit ribosomal RNA
Source: RNAcentral
AGAGUUAAAUAGUACGUGAAAUUGUUGAAAGGGAAACGAUUGAAGUCAGUCGUACCAACGGGAAAUCAGCCUUUUGAAGUAGGAUUUUGGGGUUCAAAGAGUGUCAAAACCUUUGGGUUUCAAAAUAAUUCUUUUUCUGGUGUACUUUCUCGUAGGUAGGUCAACAUCGAUUUUGAACAUCAUAAAAAGAUUGGAGGAAUGUAGCUUCGAUCUCGUAUUGAAGUGUUAUAGCCUUUGGUAAAUGUGAUGAUCAAGAUCGAGGAUUGCAACGAAUAUCCUUUUGGGCUAUCCGUCUGAUCUCUGAUACGUUGCCUUGGUAUUGAAAGCUUGCUUAUGAUAUCGGAGCGUACGUUCAAAAGGUUAGAGCGGGUUAAAUUCGUUAAGGACGCUGACGUAAUGGCUUUAAACGACC